Molecule: ribosomal RNA, 322 nt
Filed under: uncultured Actinomycetes bacterium
Lineage: Bacteria; Bacillati; Actinomycetota; Actinomycetes
Description: bacterial SSU rRNA
Rfam family: Bacterial small subunit ribosomal RNA
Source: RNAcentral
GACGAACGCUGGCGGCGUGCUUAACACAUGCAAGUCGAGCGGUAAGGCUCCUUCGGGAGUACACGAGCGGCGAACGGGUGAGUAACACGUGAGCAAUCUGCCCUUCACUUUGGGAUAACCUCCGGAAACGGUGGCUAAUACCGAAUAUGACCACUUCACGCAUGUGAUGGUGGUGGAAAGUUCUGGCGGUGGAGGAUGAGCUCGCGGCCUAUCAGCUUGUUGGUGAGGUAAUGGCUCACCAAGGCUUCGACGGGUAGCCGGCCUGAGAGGGUGACCGGCCACACUGGGACUGAGACACGGCCCAGACUCCUACGGGAGGCUG